This is a long non-coding RNA of Mirounga angustirostris (Northern elephant seal), 1477 nucleotides long. RefSeq lists it as uncharacterized. The transcript is spliced from 4 exons. NCBI's taxonomy places the organism in Eukaryota, Metazoa, Chordata, Mammalia, Carnivora, Phocidae. The record is from RefSeq and is a predicted model, not a curated record.
UAGUCGAGCCUGGAUAUUUUUAGCCGGGCCUCGGGUGCGAGCCCGCCGCGUGAGGGGGCACCCUGACCCCGCCAGGAGUGCGGAGGGGGCGGGGGCGGAGUCGCCAUCUUGGACCCGGCUCGACCCCGUCUAGUGACCGGCGGCGCUGGGCCAGGCUCUGCGCAGGGGGUCGGGAAGCACAAAGAAGUUAAGUAACUUAACCAGGUGCACACCAAGAUUCGAAGCCAGGUAGUCUUACUUCAGAGCCUCUGUGCUUAGCUGUGUCCCAGUGCCAGCCUCAUGCUCAUUCGUUUGUUCAGGACAGAUGAGGAAACAGAACCUGUUGCACAGCUGAAUGACAUGAGGAUGAGAAGUAGCAGCCUAGCAACCCAGGAAGAAGGGUCCCCAGGCCUUGGCGAUGUAACUGCGAUUAGGCUCCCAGACCCUGGUGGAGAAAAGCCUGCAGGGAGGCAUAUGAUCAAGUGUUUGAAAAUCGGUCUACUGGUGAAAGUUUAUCAAGACUACACAGAGCCUUCCACUAGAGUUGGUGGAGAGUUAUUCUUCUCUUUCUGCCGUCUUCACCUAUACUCCCAAGGAAGACAUGAAGACAAUUUUAUGACCUCUGCUGUGCAUUGAAUUAUGUCCUCCAGGCAAAACAUGUUGAAAUUCUGACUCCAGAUCCCUGUGAAUGUGACCUUAUUUGGAAAUAAGCUCUUUGCAGAUGUAAUCAAUUUAAAAUGAGGUCAUAUGGCAUUAGGAUGGGCUCUACUCCAAUGACUGGUGUCCUUAUAAGAAGAGGGAAAUUUGGACAUAUGUAGAAGAAUGCUAUGUGAUGAUGGAGGUGGAUAUUGGGGUGAUACAUCUGUGUGCUGUGGAAUGACAAGGAGUGCCAGCAACCACCGAACACUAAGAAAAAGCAAGCCAAGAAUCUUCCCAAGAGCCUUCAGAGAGAGCAUGGCCCUGCUGACAUCUUGAUUUUGGACUUCUAACCUCCAGAACUGUGAGAGAAUAAAUUUUGUUUUAAGCCAUCCAAGUUUGUAGUGAUUUGUUAUGGCAGCCCUAGGCAACUAAUACACCUUCUAAAUAAACAGAACUUGACCAGUAGAGAUUUCUUAUGUGUCUGUGCGCUCCUAGGAAGUCUAGGAAUGGACUUAUUACUAAAACAGAACUUCGCAUGUGUUAUGGACCAAAUGUCUGUGUCUCCCUAAAAUUCGUAUGUUGAAAUCAUAAUCUCCAAUGUGAUGGCAUUAAGAGGUAGGGCCUUUGGGAGGUAAUUAAGUCAUGAGGGUGGAGCUUCAUGAAUGGGAUUAGUGCCCCUAUUAGUGCCACUCCUCCCACCAUGUGAGUCACAUGAAAAAAUGGCUACUUAUGAACCAGGACGAGGGCCUGACCGUAUAUCAAAUUGACCAGCACUUUGAUCUUGGACUUCCCUGUCUCCAGAGCUGUGAGAAAUAAAUGUUUUUUGUUUUAGCUACCCAUCUAUGGUAUUUUUGUUAUA